This 2229-nucleotide unclassified non-coding RNA is filed under the name Hevea brasiliensis (rubber tree). The record is from RNAcentral. Lineage: Eukaryota; Viridiplantae; Streptophyta; Magnoliopsida; Malpighiales; Euphorbiaceae.
AGACUCAAGAACUCGGUCGGAAUGAUGCCUGUGAAAUUGUUUGAUGCACACUGUCACCUCCAAGACCCGCGAAUCCUCAACAAGGUUCCGCAACUCAUCGCCACUUCCCUUGAUACUGGUAUAAUUCGUUUCGCCGUUAAUGGAGUCUGCGAGCGAGAUUGGCAUCUGGUUAAAGAGAUGGGGGAUCUGUAUCCUUCUGUGAUUCCCUGCUUUGGUCUCCAUCCCUGGUUUAUUUCAGAGAGGACUUCCAACUGGUUCAACACGCUCAAAGAAUUCUUUGAGACCACUCCUUCUGCUGCUGUUGGUGAGGUUAAAUUCCCAUUUCCUUGUGUAGUUUCCUUUACUAAUAUUUUUGGUGAUAUCAACAUAUAUGUAUAUGUGAUACUACUCAAUAGCAUUUGAAGACAGGAGAAUGGUAGAAUUUUAAGGAGACUUGAAAUUCUCAUAUGCACAAGAACAGGGGCUCAUAUAAUUAAUACAUUCUAUGAACCUUUUCAGAUUGGUUUGGACAAGGGUUCUCGUGGAAAGAAGAUUGAUUUCACGGACCAGGUUUUCAUAUCUGAAUUUUUUAGUUACUAUAUUUUAAUAUAGUUGGCUACUCCAUAUGCUAUUUCUUAAUUGACUGGUGUUUUUGAACCAAUAUAAGGUUUCUCUUUAAUUUUACGCACUGAAGAAGAUGGCAUGCACGAGGACAAUGUGCAGCUCUUGCCUGAAAGUAGAUAAUUAUCAUUUUUUAACUUCUAAAGCAGUAGGAAUUUUAGUCCAAUAGAUGACUUAAUUGGGAGCUAAAGUGCUAAACUAGAAAAAGACACUAGACACAACUAUUUUUUAUUGUAUUUUACUUUUUUAGAGCAAUCUACUUUUUUUUUUUCUUGUCUUUAUCAACCCUGAAAUAUCUCCAUUUCUUGAUGCAUGGUUCUGCCGCUUGGCUUGUGAUAAAAAUUUGCUAAAUUAAUGCAAAAUGGUAUUUGGCAUGGGGGUUCAAUAUUUUAGAGGGCUUUUUGAAAGUGUUUGAUAUAAUAUUACUUGUAAUUUGGUGAAGAGAGUCUAUUCUGUGAUGUCCUCUUAAUAAAUUCCUAUGUAUGCAUGUAUACCAUGCAUUCAUUUAUAUAGGUAUGUAUUUAUGAUUGUGCUUAUUUUUCCCUACUUUCUUAAUUCUCUUAUAAAUUGUUUCUUAUAUUCGAUAUGCAUCUUGUAUAUGUAUCAAACAGGAUCAAGAUGUCCAGUUAUAUCUCUCUGUAUUAUUAUAUAGCACUUUUAGCCCUUCUCAUGCUCUCGAACUCUCAACGGAAUAAAUAAUUAUGUUGUUUUUCAUUUACUAUUAAAAUCAUCUCAAUCUUAAUAUGGUUUCCUAGACUUUUUUAAUGGGUGAAGUUUUUCAUUCUAGGUUGAAGUGUUUCAGCAACAGCUUGAACUUGCUAAAGAAUUGAAUAGACCAGCCUCUGUUCAUUGUGUUCGUGCAUUUGGCGAUCUUCUUGAGAUAAUGAAGUAUGAAUUUAUUUUUUUUUCUUGCUUCUCUUAGAGAUUUACCUCAAAAUGAUGGGAGCGUAACAAAAAAUUUUUCAGUUUUAACUCAUGUAGCCUAGAGUUUUCUUAGUUGUGAGCAUAAUCAGCAUUCAACAUAUAAAUAAGCAUGUGAAUUUUGCUGAAUGAGCAUUGAAAUUGCAAUUAAUUCAUUAUAAAAAAUGUCGGUUCAGUGUGUUGUGAUUAUGUCUUUGCCCCUUAUGUGGUGGCAUGGUGGAGAAUGGAUGCGGCCUUAGUGAUAUGCAUCUUUUGCAAUUGUCGGCCAUUGUGGCCUUGUUGGAAUCACUCCUUUCAUACUUUAUGAAACUAAAAGUUACUUUGUGUUUUGCAUCUUAGACAUUAUUGUGCAUCCUGAAUGCCAUUCAUUAACUAAACGACUUGAUUAAAGGCAUUCUAUGAAUCUUUUCAUCAAGGUCUUCAGUGUUUCCAAAUGAGAGGUUCUUCCUGCUCGUGGCUUUAUAUUUUUUGGACCUACUUUGUAUUGCUGUUAAUUCAUUAGUCAUUACUUGUAUUUGUGCACAUGUUUUAAAAAUGCUAGUUGCUUAUAGAGCCAUUAUAAUCUGUUCCAAGGUUUAAUUACAUGUGAAUUUCAAAUCAUCAGAAGCAUGGGACCUUUCCCUGCUGGUGUUAUUCUUCAUUCUUACUUAGGUUCUGCUGAGAUGGUUCCUGAAUUUGCCAAGCUUGGUGCAUACUUCUCAUUCUCAG